CUACAAAUAAGUCAACAUGACCAAAACUGUCCGAAAACCCCUUAAGGAGUCAUUGUCCUUUAUAGUCAAUAAUGAACAACUUUCGUCAUUUUUGUAACUUGUACAAAAAUCUUCUUUUCUAAAAGUAUGGGCCAAAUUUAACCAAACUUGGCCACAAUCAUUACUAGGGUAUCUAUUUUAAAAAAAGUGUCUAAUGACCCCGCCUACCAAACAAGAUGGCCGACAUCAGUAAAUACAGUAACAGGUGAGCGACACAGGCUCUUGAGAGCCUCUAGUU
RNAcentral lists this long non-coding RNA (277 nucleotides) under Mytilus galloprovincialis (Mediterranean mussel). Lineage: Eukaryota; Metazoa; Mollusca; Bivalvia; Mytilida; Mytilidae. The record is from RNAcentral.